GACGAACCGAGCGAACGUUAUUCGGAAUCACUGGGCUUAAAGGGCGCGUAGGCGGGUCGUCAAGUCAGGGGUGAAAGCCCGCAGCUCAACUGCGGAAGUGCCUUUGAUACUGGCGGCCUUGAGGGAGGUAGGGGCGUGCGGAACUUCCGGUGGAGCGGUGAAAUGCGUAGAUAUCGGAAGGAACACCGGUGGCGAAAGCGGCGCGCUGGACCUCUUCUGACGCUGAGGCGCGAAAGCCAGGGGAGCGAACGGG
This 253-nucleotide ribosomal RNA is filed under the name uncultured bacterium. RNAcentral's name for it is "partial 16S ribosomal RNA". It matches the Rfam family "Bacterial small subunit ribosomal RNA", at positions 524 to 776 of the family's 1533-position model. The record is from RNAcentral.